AGGGCACCACCAGGAGUGGAGCCUGCGGCUUAAUUUGACUCAACACGGGAAAACUCACCCGGCCCGGACACUGGAAGGAUUGACAGAUUGAGGGCUCUUUCUUGAUUCAGUGGGUGGUGGUGCAUGGCCGUUCUUAGUUGGUGGAGUGAUUUGUCUGGUUAAUUCCGAUAACGAACGAGACUCUAGCCUACUAAAUAGAUAGUCGGCUUACAAACGUCGACUAGACUUCUUAGAGGGACAGGCGGUGAUUCAACCGCACGAAACAGAGCAAUAACAGGUCUGUGAUGCCCUUGGAUGUCCGGGGCCGCACGCGCGCUACACUGAAGUGAUCAGCGUGCUUUUUCAGCCUACUCUGUCAAGAGUGGGAAACCCAAUGAACCUUCUUCGUGAUUGGGAUAGGGGAUUGUAAUUAUUCCCCUUGAACGAGGAAUUCCCAGUAAGCGCGAGUCAUAAGCUCGCGUUGAUUACGUCCCUGCCCUUUGUACACACCGCCCGUCGCUACUACCGAUUGAAUGUUUU
Molecule: ribosomal RNA, 519 nt
Filed under: uncultured eukaryote
Lineage: Eukaryota
Description: SSU rRNA
Rfam family: Eukaryotic small subunit ribosomal RNA
Source: RNAcentral